RNAcentral lists this long non-coding RNA (213 nucleotides) under Lathyrus oleraceus (garden pea). RNAcentral describes it as "Pisum sativum (pea) long non-coding RNA (PSAT_LNC013250)". The record is from RNAcentral. Lineage: Eukaryota; Viridiplantae; Streptophyta; Magnoliopsida; Fabales; Fabaceae.
AAAUAUUAACAUUAAAUAAAUACGAAAAUAAAAAUUAAAUAAAAUUAAAUAAUGCAUCAAGAAAUGUGGAAAAUAUUUUUGGGGAUUUUUAUGAAUAAAGAAAAUAUUUUAUAUCAAUUAAGAUCAAAACAGAAAAUAAAUGUGAAUUAAAAAAAAGAAAAUGAAAAGAGGUGGAUUAGUGUUGAUGGGCCAGGAAAGGGAGGGUGUGAAGAG